CCUACGGGAGGCAGCAGUGAGGAGUAUUGGACAAUGGGCGCAAGCCUGAUCCAGCCAUGCCACGUGCAGGAAGAAGCAUCUAUGGUGUGUAAACUGCUUUUGUACAGGAAGAAACACUCCCUCGUGAGGGAGCUUGACGGUACUGUAAGAAUAAGGACCGGCUAACUCCGUGCCAGCAGCCGCGGUAAUACGGAGGGUCCGAGCGUUAUCCGGAAUCAUUGGGUUUAAAGGGUCCGUAGGCGGUUUAAUAAGUCAGUGGUGAAAUCUGGUCGCUCAACGAUCAAACGGCCAUUGAUACUGUUAGACUUGAAUUAUAAGGAAGUAACUAGAAUAUGUAGUGUAGCGGUGAAAUGCUUAGAUAUUACAUGGAAUACCAAUUGCGAAGGCAGGUUACUACUUAUGGAUUGACGCUGAUGGACGAAAGCGUGGGGAGCGAACAGGAUUAGAUACCCUGGUAGUCCACGCCGUAAACGAUGGAUACUAGCUGUUCGGAGCAAAUCUGAGUGGGNGUAGACGAAGUAGAUAAGUAAUACCACCGUACGGGAGGUACGUUCGUCGAAGAAGUAGAAACGUAACGAAAGUAAGUAGUUAGUACGGACGUAGAGACGACGACCGACGACGACGACGGAGGGAGGGAGG
Molecule: ribosomal RNA, 639 nt
Filed under: uncultured bacterium
Lineage: Bacteria
Description: bacterial SSU rRNA
Rfam family: Bacterial small subunit ribosomal RNA (bases 1-537)
Source: RNAcentral